UUGAGGGUCCUAAAGGGCCGUUGGAGACCACAACGUUGAUAGGCGGGGUGUGUAAGUGCAGCGAUGCAUUGAGCUAACCCGUACUAAUUACCCGUGAGGCUUAACCAUACAACACCCAAGAAGUGUUCU
RNAcentral lists this ribosomal RNA (129 nucleotides) under Aeromonas veronii. Its description in RNAcentral is "partial 23S ribosomal RNA". The stretch from base 1 to 108 matches the Rfam family "Bacterial large subunit ribosomal RNA", at positions 2813 to 2925 of the family's 2925-position model. Lineage: Bacteria; Pseudomonadati; Pseudomonadota; Gammaproteobacteria; Aeromonadales; Aeromonadaceae. The record is from RNAcentral.